CCUACGGGGAGCUGCAGUGGGGAAUAUUGGACAAUGGGGGCAACCCUGAUCCAGCCAUGCCGCGUGUGUGAAGAAGGCCCUCGGGUUGUAAAGCACUUUCAGUGAGGAAGAACGCCUGGUGGUUAAUACCCAUCAGGAAAGACAUCACUCACAGAAGAAGCACCGGCUAACUCCGUGCCAGCAGCCGCGGUAAUACGGAGGGUGCGAGCGUUAAUCGGAAUUACUGGGCGUAAAGCGCGCGUAGGUGGCUUGAUAAGCCGGUUGUGAAAGCCCCGGGCUCAACCUGGGAACGGCAUCCGGAACUGUCAAGCUAGAGUGCAGGAGAGGAAGGUAGAAUUCCCGGUGUAGCGGUGAAAUGCGUAGAGAUCGGGAGGAAUACCAGUGGCGAAGGCGGCCUUCUGGACUGACACUGACACUGGGGUGCGAAAGCGUGGGUAGCAAACAGGAUUAGAUACCCGUGUAGUC
RNAcentral lists this ribosomal RNA (465 nucleotides) under Vreelandella stevensii. Its description in RNAcentral is "partial 16S ribosomal RNA". It matches the Rfam family "Bacterial small subunit ribosomal RNA", at positions 338 to 795 of the family's 1533-position model. Lineage: Bacteria; Pseudomonadati; Pseudomonadota; Gammaproteobacteria; Oceanospirillales; Halomonadaceae. The record is from RNAcentral.